GAUGAACGCUAGCGACAGGCUUAACACAUGCAAGUCGAGGGGCAUCAUGAGAGUAGCUUGCUACUUUUGAUGGCGACCGGCGAAUGGGUGAGUAACGCGUAUCCAACCUGCCGCAGACCCGGGAAUAGCCCUUGGAAAUGAGGAUUAAGUCCCGAUAUGCACAUUAGCCGCAUGGUUUAUGUGUGAAACCAGGUAUGCGAUGGGGAUGCGUCCGAUUAGCUUGCCGGCGGGGUAACGGCCCACCAAGCCUGCGAUCAGUAGGGGUUCUGAGAGGAAGGUCCCCCACAUUGGAACUGAGACACGGUCCAAACUCC
RNAcentral lists this ribosomal RNA (314 nucleotides) under uncultured Bacteroidales bacterium. RNAcentral's name for it is "bacterial SSU rRNA". It matches the Rfam family "Bacterial small subunit ribosomal RNA", at positions 28 to 339 of the family's 1533-position model. Lineage: Bacteria; Pseudomonadati; Bacteroidota; Bacteroidia; Bacteroidales. The record is from RNAcentral.